AUAAAUAAAAUAAUAAUCUGAUGCGAUUGGAAGUUUUGUUGUUGGAAUGUGGGACUACGCACAUGUUUUGUGGUGAUUGCAUAUACGAUAGUUGCUGAUUUUACAUAGGGGGAGAAGAAAAAGAGUUAAGAAAGAAUGGCGUAUCACUUCACAGACGUUUGGAAAAUUCAAAAUGUAAUUUUUCUUGCUGCCAAGCUGCUCGAUCAUGAUUCAGCUGCUUUUGCAAAUUUCGCAAUUCUUCCAGUUGAUGUUCUGGUCUAUACAGAUUUCUCUUGUCGCGAACUUCCUUCUCUUUAGAUAACUUGGACAUUUUGUAAUCCGAUUCAGCCAAUUGCACUUUAGCACUGGAAAAGAAAUUGUAAUCAAUAAGGACCCAUUCUUACUCAAAUAAAACAAGAAUCUAAAUU
Non-coding RNA from Parasteatoda tepidariorum (common house spider), 407 nucleotides. The record is from RefSeq and is a predicted model, not a curated record. Lineage: Eukaryota; Metazoa; Arthropoda; Arachnida; Araneae; Theridiidae.